AAACGUCGACAAAUAUCGAUAUUAGUUCUGAGGAAGGUCCGCCCACCAUAUUAAGGUUGUCUUUCGAAAGGAAGAUGUCCGCGAGGAUAAGCUCUGGAACAGAAACGACCCUGUUAAGUCAGGCUGAAACGGCUAUCUCAACCGGUGCAAGGCUUCGAGCCGCAUAGUCGAAUGUUAACACGUUCGGUCCGCCUUGAAACACAGAACGGCGAACGACAGAAGGUGGCCUAUUCCCAACUUAU
This 242-nucleotide RNase P RNA is filed under the name Candidatus Pacearchaeota archaeon RBG_16_35_8. RNAcentral describes it as "RNase P RNA component". It matches the Rfam family "Archaeal RNase P". Rfam says of the family: Ribonuclease P (RNase P) is a ubiquitous endoribonuclease, found in archaea, bacteria and eukarya as well as chloroplasts and mitochondria. The record is from RNAcentral. Lineage: Archaea; Nanobdellati.